UAAGAGUGAAAAGAGUGAGUAGAGAGAGAGAGAAAUCUUGUAACUCCUCUUGUAAGUCUAUAUUUUCUUCUAUUUCAAAGUUUUAUAAAGUUGUAUGUUUGUUUAAAGCUUUCAAAGUUGUUUAUAUGUCCAUGUUCAAAGUCUGUUAUUAUUAAUAAAGCAAUUCAAAGUUUAUCUUCUUUAUCUAUCUUCUUCUUUCCCCCAUCAUCAAGCGUAUGCUCUGUGCUUGCCUCGUCUGAGGAUCAUGCACAUCAGAAACUU
This 261-nucleotide long non-coding RNA is filed under the name Ricinus communis (castor bean). RNAcentral describes it as "long non-coding RNA (RCOM_LNC002486)". The record is from RNAcentral. Lineage: Eukaryota; Viridiplantae; Streptophyta; Magnoliopsida; Malpighiales; Euphorbiaceae.